This 2060-nucleotide long non-coding RNA is filed under the name Ornithorhynchus anatinus (platypus). Its description in RNAcentral is "lncRNA (ENSOANG00000037550.1)". The record is from RNAcentral. Lineage: Eukaryota; Metazoa; Chordata; Mammalia; Monotremata; Ornithorhynchidae.
CCGCCUCUGCCACUUGUCAGCCGUGUGACUGUGGGCCAGUCACUUUCACUUCUCUGGGCCUCAGUUCCCUCCUCUGUAAAAUGGGGAUGAAGACUGUGAGCCCCACGUGGGACAACCCGAUUCCCCUGCGUCUACCCCAGCGCUUAGAACAGUGCUCUGCACAUAGUAAGCGCUUAACCAAUACCAACAUUAUUAUUAAUCCAGGGGAUGGACACCUCAUGAACAAAACACAAAGGGGAAUAAAAACUGUUUAUUGCCCUCUUGAUAUUAUUGAUGAAGAUGGAUAAAGUGAUCAUUGUUUAUCAGUGGGAUUCAUCGCACCAUGACCAGGGUCCGGAGGCCCCGACCGAGGCCUUGGGGGAGGCCGGGGUCGACGGGGGCGCGCGCGUCGGGGGAGGGGGGCGCGCGCGUCGGGGCCCGGCGGCUCCUCGUGCCGCCAUUGGGCGGGCGGGUGUGACGUCAGGACGGGGCUCCGGGGCGCGGGGCGCAGGCGCGGAGGCGGGAGGGCGGGGGGGGCGGGGUCCCCCCGUUUCCCUGGUUACGGAGGGCGGAGGUUGGCGGGCGGCGAGGUCCAGGCCCAGCCCGAGGCCCGGCCGGCGGUGGCGGCGGCAGCGGGAGCGGCAGCGGCCUCCUCCUCCUCCUCCGGCCUCCUCCUUUUCCUCCUCCUCCUCCUUCUCCUCCGGGCCGCGUUGGGGGCAGGCGAAGCUGUAAUUCCGGGAACCGGCCCUCACCCCGUCUCAUGAGUCCAGCUCCGAAAGCAGCUAAAUGUUACAGAGGUCGUGAGAUUCUGGUAAGUGGCCUUCGCGGCUCACGUGAUGAGCGCAGGAGCCCGAAGAGUCCCGUGUUCCCCACCGGCAUUUCGCUGGGCUUCAGUUCCCUCCUCUGCAAAAUCCGGAUUAAGACCCUGACCCCCACGCGGGACAUGGACUGAUGAUCUUCUAUCUUCCCCAGAGCUUAGCACGGCGCUAGGCGCAUAGUACGGGCUAUCCAGAUACCGUACCGUAUUGGAAAUCAUCAUCAAGCAUCAGUAGCGUUUAUCGAGGGUCUGUUGUGGGCAGAGCACUGGACUAAACCCUUUGGGAGAAUACAUCAGAGUUGGUAGUCACGUUCCCUGCCCACAACGAACGUACGGUCUAACGGCGAUCUUACGGUCUAGAAAAGGGGUGUUUUUCUUUGAGCGGGGGCUCUUCCAAAAGAUUGUGACACAGAAAGACGGGGAAAGGGAGAGAAAGGUGAAAAGAGCACUGCGGAUGGCAGACGCUACUGUAUUCUGCUCUCCCAAGCGCAUAGUACAGAGCUUUGCGCACAGUACGAGCUCAAUAAAUACGAUCGAAAAAGUGAAUGAAGAUGCCUGAAUGGGCCUGGCGAUGAUCUGUAUGUGCACACAAGAGGAAGGGACUGGUGGUCACACAUCCGUCUUAUCUGUCACCCUUGUUUGCCCUGGUAAAAUCUCAUCACAAUCAGUACCGUCUCUGGACUCUGAGGGACAGCUAUACCCGUGUAAAAUAUAAAAUAGGGAAAUUUCAGCCCCCAAGUGAAAAUCAAUUAGUCCUAAUGACUUUUUUCUCUUUCCUCCUUUUGGGUUAUUUAAGUUUUUCACUUCUUAUUUUUCUCCUCAGUAUUACUUGAUUGCAUAUUUAUUUCCCCCUUUCUCUUUGCGUGCAAAUCUUCGCUUUUCCUUUCCGAGAGUAAGGAGAGCCGUGAGUCUUGCCCGGGGUUAUUUUUGACUCUGGUCCGGGGGCCAUGGUAAGAGAUGAAGUGUAGCUCAGAUCUACUCUUGUUGGCUUUUUCUCCCAACCCCAUCUGCCAUGGGAGAAUGAAGAUAGCAUUCCGUGAAUUUUUUUUUUUUUUUGGUUCAUUCGUUUGGCACUUUCAAGGGGCGCUUCUCUCCCGAAACCAUUGCGGAAUCGGUCUUCCUUUGAGUAGAGUGGGUGUUAAAUGGACUCAAGCCAGAAUCCUAGAGCUGCAAGGAAUUCAGGCAGGGCACCCGGGCCAGACUUUGCCUUCGGGCAAGUGGGAAAAACUCCUAAACCCGGUAGUCCAUCCGGGCUAGAAUUUUG